RNAcentral lists this unclassified non-coding RNA (1796 nucleotides) under Limulus polyphemus (Atlantic horseshoe crab). RNAcentral's name for it is "syntaxin-like, transcript variant X1". The record is from RNAcentral. Lineage: Eukaryota; Metazoa; Arthropoda; Merostomata; Xiphosura; Limulidae.
UACGAAACACAAAUGUAAUCUCGUGGUGGUCAUAGCACAUAAUGUGCGAACAGAAACAUCCACACAAGUUGAAGUAGUGCCACGAAACUGUUUAUAGAUAACUUUUAAGUUCGAUUUAUAAUGACGAAAGACCGACUUGCAGCGUUGAAAGCGACUCAAGGGGAUGAUGAUGUUUCUGUCUCAGUUGAUGACACUAGGGGUGGAGGUUACAUGGAUGAAUUUUUUCAAGAGGUUGAAGAAAUCCGUGAAAGCAUUGAGAAAAUCCAGGCUAAUGUUGAAGAGGUCAAGAAAAAACACAGUGCCAUUCUCUCUGCUCCACAGACAGAUGGAAGGGUCAAGCAAGAAUUGGAAGAUUUAAUGGCAGACAUAAAAAAGGCUGCCAACAAAGUUCGCACUAAAUUAAAAGUGAUGGAACAAAACAUUGAUCAGCAAGAACAAACUAGCAUGAUGUCAGCAGAUUUUAGGAUAUGCAAAACACAGCAUUCUAUGCUAUCCCAAAAGUUUGUGGAGGUGAUGACAGACUACAAUAAGACACAAACAGACUACAGAGAGAGAUGCAAGGCACGAAUUCAACGGCAGUUAGAAAUUACGGGUAAAGUGACAACUAAUGAAGAACUAGAAGAUAUGCUGGAAAGUGGGAAUCCUACAAUAUUUACACAGGGAAUCAUCAUGGAGACACAGCAAGCUAAACAAACAUUAGCUGACAUUGAGGCUCGUCACAACGAUAUCAUUAAACUAGAAAACAGUAUCCGAGAAUUACAUGAUAUGUUUAUGGAUAUGGCUAUGUUAGUUGAAAGUCAGGGUGAAUUGAUUGAUAGAAUUGAAUAUCAAGUAGAACAUGCAAAAGAUUAUAUUGAAGCUGCCAAACAAGACACAAAAAAGGCUCUUGUAUACCAGAGCAAAGCAAGAAGGGUCGUCAGUAGGUCAUCCACAAAUUGGAAAUAAAGGCCAUUACUUUUUCAAGGAACGCCAUAAUUGGAGGAACCGAAGAAAAGCGCAGCUGAGUGCAGAAAAUUUUCUGCAAGGUUUAAAACAUUUGAAUCAAUUGGUGACUUGAACCUAGAGCUAAUUUCUAAAGAUGAUCAAAGACAGACUUGGAGCUUUGAAGUCAACUCAAAGUGAAGAGGAUGAAAGUAAUAACUUGGUUGCUAUGGAAAUGGAGCCUCAUCAGGGUGCACUGGGAGAAUUUUUCAAAGAGAUAUGACACUCGUAUUCAGUGACCGCGAUGUGUACAUCAAUGAUCACUUUGAACUUGUUCGGGACAUCGAUAAUCCUAACACGGCUGAAGCAUUGUUCCUACUAGAACUAGAGAUAACCGAUCGAUUCUGCAGCACACAGCUCCAGAGUUCUACAACAAAGCACUUUUCUGUGAUUUUUGAACGUAAGCAACUUCCAUGACCUUUGAACCGAAGCAUAUUCUUAUUUUCCCUUAACCUUUGAAUUUGGACACCCACCAUGGCCAUUGAACAUAAACACACUUCCAUAUCCUUUGGAUCUAUAAACACCUUCCCUAACCUUUGUAUCUGAACAUUCUUUUCCGUGACCUUUGAAUUUAUUUCACGACUUUUGAACUUCAUUUUCAUGUUUUAAUUGGUUUCUUUUCAGUAUUUUUAGAUUUAUUGUGAUCGUUAUAAACUAAAUAGAUUCGCAGGAAUGAUGUUGAAAAUUAUAAUGUGUAUCAUUUCUUUCUCUGUACGCAAAUGUAUAAAUAGAUAAUUGAACAAAAUAAGAAACUCAAGAUAUUCGAAGAGAAGUUUAUAGUAGUAAGAUGUAACCAUGAUACGAAUAAAAUAUAG